CCUACGGGAGGCAGCAGUCGGGAAUCUUCCACAAUGGGCGAAAGCCUGAUGGAGCAACGCCGCGUGGGUGAAGAAGGUCUUCGGAUCGUAAAACCCUGUUGUUAGAGAAGAAAGUGCGUGAGAGUAACUGUUCACGUGUCGACGGUAUCUAACCAGAAAGCCACGGCUAACUACGUGCCAGCAGCCGCGGUAAUACGUAGGUGGCAAGCGUUAUCCGGAUGUAUGGGGCGUAAAGGGCACGCAGGCGGUCUUGUAAGUCUGAUGUGAAAGGCUUCGGCUUAACCGGCGUAGUGCAUAGGAAACUGGGAGACUUGAGUGCAGGAGAGGAGAGUGGAACUCCAUGUGUAGCGGUGAAAUGCGUAGAUAUAUGGAGGAACACCAGUGGCGAAAGCGGCUCUCUGGUCUGUAACUGACGCUGAGGUUCGAAGGCGUGGGUAGCAAACAGGAUUAGAUACCCGGGUAGUC
RNAcentral lists this ribosomal RNA (465 nucleotides) under uncultured bacterium. RNAcentral describes it as "partial 16S ribosomal RNA". It matches the Rfam family "Bacterial small subunit ribosomal RNA", at positions 338 to 795 of the family's 1533-position model. The record is from RNAcentral.